RNAcentral lists this small nuclear RNA (251 nucleotides) under Dipodomys ordii (Ord's kangaroo rat). RNAcentral's name for it is "7SK RNA". It matches the Rfam family "7SK RNA". Rfam says of the family: 7SK was discovered as an abundant small nuclear RNA in the mid-70s but a possible function has only recently been suggested. Two independent studies have found that 7SK RNA binds the CDK9/cyclin T complex (known as elongation factor P-TEFb). P-TEFb activates transcription by phosphorylating the C-terminal domain of RNA polymerase II. Lineage: Eukaryota; Metazoa; Chordata; Mammalia; Rodentia; Heteromyidae. The record is from Rfam by way of RNAcentral.
AGAUGUGAGGGCGAUCUGGCUGCGACAUCUGUCACCCCAUUGAUCACCAGGGUGGAUUCGGCUGAUCUGGCUAGGCGGGUGUCCCCUUCGCUCGGUCGAAGAGGACGACCAUCCCCGAUAGAGGAGGACCGGGGUCUUCGGUCAAGGGUAUACCAGUAGCUGCGCUCCCCUGCUAGAACCUCCAAACAAGCUCUCAAGAAAUUCAAGUGUAAGUUUCCCUCUUAUGUUAUUCAUUUAGUUUGUCUGUCUCU